This 357-nucleotide long non-coding RNA is filed under the name Mytilus galloprovincialis (Mediterranean mussel). The record is from RNAcentral. Lineage: Eukaryota; Metazoa; Mollusca; Bivalvia; Mytilida; Mytilidae.
CAAAUAUAACAUGAGUUGUGUUUCCAACCCAUAUGGCAGACAGUAUAAAAAUUAAAACUAUUUUUCCGAACUCAAGUCACGCAUUAAAAAAGUCUAUUUAAGUAUUCUUCACUAUUGUCCGAGGUCGAUAUCUUUGAAAAAACUAUGUAAAACAAAAAGCUCCUUCAUGUUUAGAUGCCCUUUUGGAUACGUUUCAAAACAUUAUUUUUCCGUGUUCUCAAAUGACAAAACCCCGUAUACGGCUAUAUUAGAAACUUUGUCAAGCUUCAUUACUUUGGUAAUCAGAGCAAACGUUAAAAAUCAUGGCGCCUAAAUAAACCAUUAAUUUAAAUCUAUGUUGAAAGAAUUCAUUUUGGG